GAUGAACGCUGGCGGCGUGCCUAAUACAUGCAAGUCGAGCGAACAGACGAGGAGCUUGCUCCUUUGACGUUAGCGGCGGACGGGUGAGUAACACGUGGGUAACCUACCUAUAAGACUGGGAUAACUUCGGGAAACCGGAGCUAAUACCGGAUAAUAUUUCGAACCGCAUGGUUCGAUAGUGAAAGAUGGCUUUGCUAUCACUUAUAGAUGGACCUGCGCCGUAUUAGCUAGUUGGUAAGGUAACGGCUUACCAAGGCAACGAUAUGUAGUCGACCUGAGAGGGUGAUCGGCCUCACUCGAACUUAGACACGGUCCAGACUCCUACGGGAGGCAGCAGUAGGCAAGCUUCCGCCAUGGGCGGAAGCCUGACGGAGCAACGCCGCGUCAGUGACCACGGUCUUCGUAUCGUAAAACUCUGUUAUCAGGGAGGAAUCACCGUGUAAGUGACUGAACGCGUCUUGACGGUACCUAAGCAGAUAGCCACGGCUGACUACGUG
This 497-nucleotide ribosomal RNA is filed under the name uncultured bacterium. Its description in RNAcentral is "partial 16S ribosomal RNA". It matches the Rfam family "Bacterial small subunit ribosomal RNA", at positions 28 to 507 of the family's 1533-position model. The record is from RNAcentral.